UAGUUUGGUUAAUGUUGAAUUUCAAUGUCAAUAAGUUGGAAUGCCAAAAAAUAUAAUGUAAACGAUUUAUUGCCUGAGCCAGCCCUCUUCCUUUAUUUGAAGUUGUGAAAAGUGUUAAAAAUCCCCCUCUUAUUUGGACUCUAGUCUCCUUGGUUGUUACUUCCAUGCUCUUGUUUCUAGCAAAUAAUGCAUUGAUUGUUAUGGAGAGCUAGCGCUAGUUUGCUUCUUUAUUGAGGCUUUCAUAGUUCCAUUGACACCUUACUAUGA
Molecule: unclassified non-coding RNA, 267 nt
Filed under: Hevea brasiliensis (rubber tree)
Lineage: Eukaryota; Viridiplantae; Streptophyta; Magnoliopsida; Malpighiales; Euphorbiaceae
Source: RNAcentral